RNAcentral lists this ribosomal RNA (450 nucleotides) under uncultured Glomeromycotina. Its description in RNAcentral is "SSU rRNA". It matches the Rfam family "Eukaryotic small subunit ribosomal RNA", at positions 569 to 1021 of the family's 1831-position model. Lineage: Eukaryota; Fungi; Glomeromycota. The record is from RNAcentral.
CGCAGCCGCGGUAAUUCCAGCUCCAAUAGCGUAUAUUAAAGUUGUUGCAGUUAAAAAGCUCGUAGUUGAAUUUUAGGCCUGGCCAGGCGGUCCGUCUUUGGCGAGUACUGUCUUGUGUCGGGUCUUCCUUCUAGUGAACCUGUAUGUCCUUUAUUGGGUGUGUUGGGGAGCCAGGACCAUUACCUUGAAAAAAAUUAGAGUGUUUAAAGCGGGCUUUUGCUUGAAUAGAUUAGCAUGGAAUAAUAGAAUAGGACGUUGUGGUUCUAUUUUGUUGGUUUCUAGGACCACCGUAAUGAUUAAUAGGGAUAGUUGGGGGCGUUAGUAUUCAAUUGUCAGAGGUGAAAUUCUUGGAUUUAUUGAAGACUAACUACUGACGAAAGCAUUUGCCAAGGAUGUUUUCAUUAAUCAAGAACGAAAGUUAGGGGAUCGAAGACGAUCAGAUACCGUCGU